AAAUUGAAGAGUUUGAUCAUGGCUCAGAUUGAACGCUGGCGGCAGGCCUAACACAUGCAAGUCGAACGGUAACAGGAAGCAGCUUGCUGCUUCGCUGACGAGUGGCGGACGGGUGAGUAAUGUCUGGGAAACUGCCUGAUGGAGGGGGAUAACUACUGGAAACGGUAGCUAAUACCGCAUAACGUCGCAAGACCAAAGAGG
This 201-nucleotide ribosomal RNA is filed under the name Escherichia coli. RNAcentral describes it as "partial 16S ribosomal RNA". It matches the Rfam family "Bacterial small subunit ribosomal RNA", at positions 1 to 209 of the family's 1533-position model. Lineage: Bacteria; Pseudomonadati; Pseudomonadota; Gammaproteobacteria; Enterobacterales; Enterobacteriaceae. RNAcentral also lists the same sequence under 3 other names. The record is from RNAcentral.